Molecule: ribosomal RNA, 451 nt
Filed under: uncultured bacterium
Lineage: Bacteria
Description: partial 16S ribosomal RNA
Rfam family: Bacterial small subunit ribosomal RNA
Source: RNAcentral
GUGGGGAAUAUUGGACAAUGGGGGGAACCCUGAUCCAGCCAUGCCGCGUGUGUGAAGAAGGCCUUUUGGUUGUAAAGCACUUUAAGCGAGGAGGAGGCUACCGAGAUUAAUACUCUUGGAUAGUGGACGUUACUCGCAGAAUAAGCACCGGCUAACUCUGUGGCAGCAGCCGCGGUAAUACAGAGGGUGCAAGCGUUAAUCGGAUUUACUGGGCGUAAAGCGCGCGUAGGUGGCCAAUUAAGUCAAAUGUGAAAUCCCCGAGCUUAACUUGGGAAUUGCAUUCGAUACUGGUUGGCUAGAGUAUGGGAGAGGAUGGUAGAAUUCCAGGUGUAGCGGUGAAAUGCGUAGAGAUCUGGAGGAAUACCGAUGGCGAAGGCAGCCAUCUGGCCUAAUACUGACACUGAGGUGCGAAAGCAUGGGGAGCAAACAGGAUUAGAAACCCUAGUAGUCC